This 16988-nucleotide long non-coding RNA is filed under the name Gossypium barbadense (sea-island cotton). RNAcentral's name for it is "long non-coding RNA (GBAR_LNC019305)". The record is from RNAcentral. Lineage: Eukaryota; Viridiplantae; Streptophyta; Magnoliopsida; Malvales; Malvaceae.
UCAAAGGCAAUUAUUUUUGCUUGGGUUUGUUUAUUUUUUUCUUCUUCUCUUAACUUUCUUUUCCUUCCUUUCAAACCCUAGCCGCCGCCCUUGGUGAUUCCUUGCUUCGUUCGGCGAUGUAACGGCCGAUGUUUCCCUCUCGUUCCUUCUAUUCUUUUCUUCCUUCCUCCUUUUCUUCUUUUCCUUUUCUCUUCUCUUUCCCAUUUCUCUCCUUCCCUUUCCUCUCUUUUCUUUCUCUUCUAUUUCUCUUCUCGGUAACCCCAAGGUUGAAAGCGCCGCCACUGCGCUCGUCCUUGGCUCUUCUCCGCCCUCGGUGGCCCACGAAGAAGGCCAAAAUUUCUUACUAAUUUUAUUUUUUUGCUGCUGUUUUUUUACUGUGUUUUUCUUAUUUUUUUUUGGUUGCUUGUUGCUUGUUGUGUUUGAUUUGUUGUAGAUGCUGGCGGUGGAGCAACACUGGUGGUGGCGCGGCGGUCUUGGUGGCGGUGGGGGGCGAAAGGAUGUUCUCUUUUUUUUUUGCUCUCUGUUUUUUGUUUUCUUUUUUUGGCUUCCAAAAAUCCUUCCUCCCCUUUCUCUUCAAUUUUUCUUUUUAAUCCCUCAAAAUUGUCUUCUUCCUCUUUGUUUUUAGGUGACAGGGGAAGGAAAUCAUGGCCUAGGGAGCUGCCGGAGUAGCUGGAAGUGGCAGGAGCAUGCUUGGAUGCCGAUUGGGUGAUUUGACAAGUCUAAAAGGACCAAAAUGUAGAAGACACAAAAUAUUUGGGGUAAAAAUGUAAUUUUGGGAAAAUAUAGGGCUGAGAUGUAAUUUUUAGAAAGUUUAGAGGUCAAAGUGUAAUUUUAAGAAAGUUUAGGGGUUGAAAUGUAAUUUUAGAAAAGUUUGGGGUCAAAAUGUAAAUUUUAAAAAGUAUAGGGGUUAAAACAUAAUAUUUAUUUUUUGCAUUUUUUUCAAAUUUUAUUAUUACUAUUUUAUUAAUAUUUAAAACAAAAAUUAAAAAUGGGCAAAAACAAGUCCAAAAUUAAAUCCCAACGGGCCCAAUCGUUGGGCCCAUAUGAGACCAGCCUCGCCCAAAACCCUACCCGGGCAAAAUUCAGUGAUUACAGCUGCCCCUCUUUGCUCAUCACUGUGAAACAGGGAUGGAGCAAAGACUUAAAAGCACUGAAUUUUGUUCGAUUGUCCAAAAAUUUUUUGUCUAUAUUUUCUAAAAGCCUGAAAUUGAAAAUAGCUUGGUAUGCGAUUCGAAGUUCAACUCACUUCUCGGAUUAUGAGUUGAGCCUUGAAAAAUAGAAAUUGAAAAAUACCUCGACGUGUGUCGCGAGGCUCAACUCCCUCUCGCAAUAUGAGUUGAUUUUUAACAACAAAACAGAAAUGUAAAAGAAGUAUCUCGGUAUGUGACCCGAGGCUUAACUCACCUCUCGCAAUAUGAGUUGGUUUGUGAAAAACAGAAAUUUAAAAGAAAUACCUCAGCAUGUGACCCGAGGCUCAACUCACUUCUCGCAAUAUGAGUUGGUUUGUGAAAAACAGAAAUUUAAAAGAAAUACCUCAGCAUGUGACCCGAGGCUCAACUCACUUCUCGCAAUAUGAGUUGAUUUUAAAAAACAAAACAAAAAUGUAAAAGAAGUACCUCGGUAUGUGACCCGAGGCUCAACUCACCUCUCGCAAUAUGAGUUGAUUUGUGAAAAAUAGAAAUUUAAAAGAAAUACCUCAACAUGUGACCCGAUGCUCAACUCACUUCUCGCAAUAUGAGUUGAUUUUAAAAAAAAACAGAAAUUAAAAAUACCUCAGCGUGACCCGAGGCUCAACUCACCUUUCGUAUUAUGAGUUGAUUUUUAAAAAAAAAGACAGAAAUUAAAAACACCUCAGCAUGACCCGAGGCUUCAACUCACCUCUCGAAUUAUGAGUUUAUUUUUAAAAAAGACAGAAAUUAAAAAUACCUCAGCGUGACUCGAGGCUCAACUCACCUCUCGUAUUAUGAGUUGAUUUAUGAAAAACAGAAAUUUAAAAGAAAUACCUCAGCAUGUGACCCGAGGCUCAACUCACUUCUCACAAUAUGAGUUGAUUUAAAAAAAAUAGAAAUUAAAAAUACCUCAGCUUGACCCAAGGCUCAAAUCACCUCUCGUAUUAUGAGUUGAUUUUUUUUAAAAAAGAUAAAAAUUAAAAAUACCUCAGCGUGACCCGAGGCUUCAACUCACCUAUCGUAUUAUGAGUUGAUUUUUAAAAAAGACAGAAAUUAAAAAUACCUAAGCGUGACCCGAGGCUCAACUCACCUCUCGUAUUAUGAGUUGAUUUAUGAAAAACAGAAAUUUAAAAGAAAUACCUCAGCAUGUGACCCGAUGCUGAACUCACUUCUCGCAAUAUGAGUUGAUUUAAAAAAAACAAAAAUUAAAAAUACCUCAGCGUGACCCGAGGCUCAACUCACAUCUCGUAUUAUGAGUUGAUUUUUAAAAAACAGACAGAAAUUAAAAAUACCUCAGCGUGACCCGAGGCUUCAACUCACCUCUCGUAUUAUGAGUUGAUUUUUAAAAAAAGACAGAAAUUAAAAAUACCUCAGCGUGACCCGAGGCUCAACUCACCUCUCGUAUUAUGAGUUGAUUUUUGAAAAAACAGAAAUUAAAAAAUACCUCAGCGUGACCCGAGGCUCAACUCACCUAUCGUAUUAUGAGUUGAUUUUUGAAAAACAAAAAUUAAAAAAAUAUAAUUCUUGAAAGAAACAGGGUUUCAAAAACAUCAGGUGAAACUAAAAGCCUUCUUCUUCAUUAAUUCUGUGCAGCUUUCUCCCAAAAUUACUCGCUCUAUUGGUAUACCUGUAUAUGUCAUGUAUGAUGUUAUUAUGAUAUGCACAUGUUUGCUCUAAAUGCUUUUAUGCCUACAUAAUCAUGCCAUGCACCCUGGGCCGCUUGUCACAUGCCCCCUUUUUCAUGAGGGAGUGCAUUCAUUGCCUCAAUCUUUAACUUUCUCUCAGGUUUUGUGCUCAUCUCCAAGGUUUACGAGCAAUCCACAGUUCUUCGUAUAUCACUCUCUUGUCCCCUUGUUGAACUUUGUUCUUGCUUCAGGGUCCUUGUAUUUAUCAAAUUCUCAUUCAGGUAAUGCUCAACAUUCCUUUUGUUUAGAGUAUGUCAUCUUACUAUUUAUCAUUUAAAUUAAUCAAACACGAGAUGUAUGAAAAACGGCACAGUAGGCAUGAAAGAAAUACCUCACAUUCAAUUUUUUUCAAAAGCAACAAACAAAGAAAAAUUACAAGGAAUAGUUCAAAUAAAGAAAACAUCAUAAAGAAAGGGAAGCGAAUUCAAAAGCCGGAAAUGCUCUAGAUAUCCAAUUCAUGAACUUCUCCACGUUUCCUCGUCCUGGAUCCUUUCAAGCACAAUUUCUGUGUAGAAGAUUUCGAGCUUCUGAGAAUGUUUCAAAUAUAGCGACUUCAUCAUUCAACUCCCCGUUCAAGUCACCUUGCUCCUUUAAGCUCGAGCUUGUUUCAUUAGGACGCCCUAUCGGGUUUUCAUCCUAAUCUUUUUGUUUAUCAAGACGCCCUUUUCAGGUUUUCAUCUGGAUUCUUUUUUUCUUUUCUUUUGUUUUUUUUUGUUUUUGUUUUUUUUUGUUUUUAGGCAUAAUAUUUCUUCACAGCAUCAGAGUUUACUGGAUUAGGUAAUUCUUUCCCAUCCAUCUCAGUGAGAAUCAGAGCCCCUCCUGAGAAUGCCUUUUUUACAACGUAUGGCCCUUCCCAAUUUGGUGACCAUUUUCCUCGAAAGUCCUUCUGUAUCGGGAGAAUUUUUCUCAGUACGAGCUCUCCUUCGCGAAAUUCUCUUGGUCGCACCUUUUUAUCAUGAGCCGUGAUCAUUCUCUUCUGGUACAUUUGUCCAUGACAAAUUGCCUUCAAGCGUUUUCCCUCAAUAAGAUUUAGCUGAUCAUACCGAGCUCGAACCCACUCUGAUUCUUCUAACUUUGUCUGCAUCAAAACGCGCAGGGAUGAGAUCUCUACUUCGAUAAGCAGAACGACCUCCAUCUCGUAGACUAGAGAAAAAGAAGUUGCCCCUGUAGACGUCCGUACAUAGGUGCGAUAUGCGUACAAAGAGAAUGGUAGCUUCUCGUGUCAGUCUUUAUAUGUCUCAGUCAUCUUCCCGAUAAUCCUCUUUAUAUUCUUAUUAGCAGCUUCUACCGCUCCGUUCAUCUUCGGGCGAUAGGGUGAAGAAUUAUGAUGCUUUAUCUGAAAUUGCUCACAUACUUCUUUCAUCAUCUUGUUGUUCAAAUUUAAAGCAUUAUCUGAAAUGAUUCUCUCAGGCAAACCAUAUCAACAUAUGAUCUCCUUUUUUAAGAACCUACAGACUGUAGCCUUUGUCACAUUAGCAAGCGAAGUGGCUUCUACCCAUUUUGUGAAGUAGUCUAUAACCACAAAGAUGAAUCGAUGUCCAUUGGAAGCUUUCGGGGAAAUUGGCCCUAUAACAUCCAUGCCCCACAUAGAAAAAGGCCACGGAGAAGUCAUGACAUGAAGGGGCGAUGGAGUUGCAUGAAUUUUAUUGCCAUAAAUUUGACAUUUGUGGCACUUUCGUGCGUAGCCAAUACAAUCCCUUUACAUCGUCAGCCAAAAAUAACCAAGUCUCAUAAUCUGCCUAGCCAUAGUAAACCCAUUGGCAUGCGUUCCACAAAUUCCUUCGUGGACAUCUUCAAGUAUUCUUCUGGCUUCAAUAGCGUCAACGCAUUUCAAUAGCAUUUGGUCCUUUCCUCUUUUAUAAAGGAUUACUCCGUUAAGAACAAAUCCAAUUGUCAUUCUCCUGAGAGUUCUUUUGUCAUUCUCGUUUGCUUGCUCGGGAUACCUUUGAUUCUUUAUAUACUCCAAGAUAUCAUGGAACCAUGGUCGUCCAUCUGACUCCUCCUCAAUACUAAAACAGUGUGCGGGGGUCUCAUAUAUGCUCAUUUGGAUAGGCAUUAUUUCAGUUUCUCUGUUUGCUUUGAACAUUGAAGCCAGGGUGGCCAGGGCGUCAGCCAAUUGGUUCUCUUCUCGUGGAAAGUAGUUAAAAGUCAUUUCUUUAAAUUCUUUGACCAAUUCUACAACGAGAUCGCGAUAUUUGACUAAUUUCGAAUCCCUCACUUCCCAAUCUCCACGAAUUUGAUAAAUGACUAAUGCUGAGUUCCCGUGUACCUCUAAAAUUUUAAUUUUCCUCUUGAUAGCUGCACGAAGUCCCAUGAUACAAGCUUCGUACUCUGCUAUAUUAUUGGUACAGAAGAAAUUCAAUCUGGCAGUGAGUGCGUAAUGAUCUCCUUCCGACGACACUAAGACUGUUCCGAUCCUAUGCCCCAAUGCAUUCAAUGCGCCAUCGAAUCUCAUUUUCCAUGAUUUCUUUUUUGAUGACUCCUCUUUUCCUGAAAUGCACAUCAAGUCUUCAUCUGGGAAAUCAAAUCUCAAUGGCUCGUAUUCUUUCACUGUUCGACUUGCCAAGAAGUCAGCUAUCGCGCUUCCCUUUAUUGAUUUUUGGCUCACAUACACGAUGUCAUACUCAGUCAGUAAGAUUUGCCAUCGUGCCAUUCUUCCUGAGAGUGCAGGUGACUCCAUCAUGUACUUUAUUGGGUCCAGUUUUGAAAUUAACCAUGUCGUGUGAUACAACAUGUAUUGCCUGAGCCUUCGAACCGUCCAAAUCAAUGCACAACAAAACUUCUCAAUUGAAGGGUACUUUGCCUCAUAUUCUGUGAACUUCUUGCUGAGGUAGUAAAUUGCAUUUUCUCUUCUCCCUGACUCAUCAUGUUGCCCCAGUACGCAACCCAUUGAGUUCUCAAACACGGUCAGGUACAAUAUUAAGGGUUCUCCAAGGGUUGGCAGUACUAGCACAAGAGGAUUAGACAAAUACCGUUUUAUCUUAUCGAAGGCCACUUGGCACACCUCGUUCCAUUUUUCUGGGUUAUGUUUUUGAAGGAGUCGAAAAAUUGGGUCGCACUGAUUGGUAAGUUGAGCAAUGAAUCGAGCAAUGUAAUUCAACCUUCUUAAAAAUCCUCUGACUUCUUUCUGUGUGCGCGGGGGAGGAAAUUCUUAUAUAGCUUUUAUCUUGUCUGGAUCAACCUCGAUGCCUCUCUCACUGACAAUGAAACCUAGUAGUUUUCCCUAGGUAGCCCCAAACGUACACUUGGCCUGGUUAAGCUUCAACUGGAACUUUCUUAGCCUUUUGAACAGCUUCUUGAGAUUUCCAACAUGCUCUUUUUCUUCCCGAGAUUUGGCAAUCAUAUCAUCGACAUAAACUUCUAUCUCUUUGUGUAUCAUACCAUGGAACAACGUCACCAUGGCUCUCUGAUAUGUUGCCCCAGCAUUCUUUAGUCCGAAUGACAUUACCUUAUAACAGAAAGUUCCUCACAUUUUUAUGAAUGUAGUUUUCUCCAUGUCUUCGGGAGCCAUCUUUAUCUGAUUAUAACCUGAGAAGCCAUCCAUGAAAGAAAACAGAGAAUGCUUUGCCGUAUUAUCCACCAAAGUUUCGAUGUGUGGCAAAGGAAAGUUAUCCUUAGGGCUUGCUUGAUUCAGAUCACGAUAAUCCACGCACAUUCGCACCUUGCCAUCUUUCUUCGGCACUAAGACUAUAUUAGCUACCCAUUCUGGAUACUUGGAGACUUGUAGGAAGCCUGCAUCAAAUUGUUUCUUGACUUCUUCUUUUAUUUUCAACAGUAUUUCGGGUCUCAUCCUUCUUAACUUCUGUUGAACAGGUUUGCAUUCUGGUUUCAGUGGGAGCUUAUGGACCACAAUAUCUGUGUUCAACCCUGGCAUAUCCUGAUAAGACCAAGCAAACACAUCCUUGUACUCAUGGAGCAAGGCGAUCAAAUCCCGCCUGGUGUUUUCUGAAAUGGAAGUCUCAAUCUUCACUUCUUGUUUCUUUUCUUCAUUCCCCAAGUUCACUACUUCAAUAGAUUCUUGAUGGGGUAGGAUCUGAUUCUCUUCUUGUUCUACCAUUCUCAGUAAAUCAGGAGACGAGACACAAUCUUCAACAUUUUCUUCAGCUUCGAAUUCUCCUAAACAAACAGUUUUCUCAAAAUUGAUUUCAGGGUUCAUAACGGGAUUAUUCAUGCUGUUGAUAUCUGAGCACUUGAAAGGGGAAUGGAAAAGGCUAUAGAAGAGCAUUGAGGUAUUGGAAUUAACACACAAUGAUAUGAGAUGAUAUGAGACAUAUGCCGGAAAUGAUAUCAAUAGAAGGAGUAGUCGCGAAGUUAAUAGAAAUGAAAAGAACAUGACAAUAUAAAACAAAAUGCAUCUUCAUUAAUGUUCAUUGAAAUCAUAAAGAGCAAACAUAAGCUCUUACAAAAGGAACCCUACUGUUUAAGGAUACACAAAAUGAAGGGUUAACAUUGGGCAUUACUCUGAAGGGGACUUAAAAACUACAAUGAGGUCCACAGCAGUCCAGUUGUUCAAAGCAAAUCCAGGAGGACAAGAGCGUAUCAUUGAAGCCUUCUUAAUUUCAUCAUUCUCAUUGUCAAUAGCAUUUAGGCUGAUAUUCUGAAGACCCUUUUCAAUUAAUAAUGUGAUUUGUGGAUUGUCCUGCCCUGGGUACAUCACUCCUGCUGAUGUAAAUGUUCUUGACAAAGGAGGAUACGCCGAUGGUUCCCAUUCUAAUUCCCGGCCUGAAGCUCUCGCGAUUCUUCUUUCUCUAUCUUUUUGCAAUUGUUUUCUCAUUUGAUGUAUAUCUGGCUUGAACCCCAAACCGUAUCGACCCUUGUGGUGCGUUGGUUUCAAAGCUAUAACCAUCCCUUGUUGAUAUUUUCCCAAGCCUUUCCUCGCUCGAACUCUUUUUCCCACAGUCAGCUUAAUUCCCAUCUUGGUAUUCCUCGACAGUUUGGGAAUGGGGAUCUUAUUCCCUUCGGCAACAAAUACAGUAUUAAUAAAUUCCAACGAUCAAAAAGAACAUUCUAUAGCAUCUUCGCUUAUUUCGAUGUAGGGUGUAUCAGUAGAGAUAGAUGCAACGAUGUCUUUCUCACCAGUGACAGUAAUCAAACGGCCAUCCAUGAUGAACUUUAAUUUUUGAUGGAGAGAUGAAGGAACUGCCCCAGCAGAAUGGAUCCAAGGUCUUCCUAAGAGGCAAUUGUAUGAAGGCGUAAUGUCCAUGACCUGAAACUCGAUAUCAUAUACACAUGGCCCCACUUUUAAAGGAAUUUUGAUCUUUCUCAUGACCUCUCGUCGCGUCCCAUCAAAUGCCCUUUCUACAGAAUGACAAUGCCUCAAAUAGAACAUAUCAACCGGCAUCCUAGAAAGCGCGGCCAAAGGCAUAACAUUGAGUGCAGAUCCAUUGUCGAUGAGCACAUUUGGUACUCUGUAGCCCUUGCAAUUGGUUGUGAUGUGCAAUGCUUUAAUAGAGCCCCUACCAUUUGGUGGUAUUUUGUCAUCACUAAAAGAGAUGAAAUUAUCUGCAUUCAGAUUAUUUGCCCACCUAUCAAGCUUUUCCACAGAUACAUUGUUCGCCACAUAAGCUUGAUUUAACACUUUUAGCAAGGCAUUUCGAUGCGGCUCCGAGUUCAACAAUAGAGACAGUACUGAGAUUCGAGCCGGCUGUUUGUUUAAUUGUUCUACAACGCUAUAUUCACUAUGCUUAAUAAACUUUAAGAACUCAUGUGCUUCCUCCUAAUUCACAGCCUUUUUAACUUCUUCCUCAAGCUGGGUUUCAACAUCAUCCUCAACCUCAUACAUUGGUGCUUUUCCUUUCUGGCUCGGGCCAGCAACUUUCUUCUUUGGUUCAAUCAUAUCGGGAGAAUAACAUCUUCCACUACGAGUAAAGUGUCCUACUCCGCUAACACAUUCACUCACAACCUUGGACUUUUCACCCUCAGGUACAACGAUAUUGACAUCAUAAUUCCACGGCACUGUCUUAUUGUCCUUGUAAGGGAAAGGAGCAGUUACUUCGAUUAUCAAACUUAGUUUAACUUUUCGGCUAACUUCUCCCUUCUUUGCCUCGUAAUAAAUCAUCAAAGGUCUAUCAACGCUAUAAGGGGAAACCAUCGAUUGAUUAUCAGAGGCACAUAUUUCCCCUUCCUCGGCCCCUUCCACCCUAUCAAAGACUUUGACCUCCUUGUUAUCCAUCAUAUCCUGAAGUAAUUUUCUAAAUUCUUUGCAAGAUUGGAUGUCAUGCCCUUCGAUGCCAUGGAAAUCACAAAAACCUUGGUCUUUUGUACUUUCUUCUUUGAGAAUUCUACCAGACGGGCAAAGCAAGUCAUUUUCAACCAUCAUCUCCCAUACCUUCCGUAAAGGUGUCCUUACUUCAGCAACAUAACCUUUGGCUCGCCAACCGUCUUCAUUUGCCGCUGCAUUUACAUUCCCACUAAUAUGGUUAGGAAGAGGAUUUCCAGUCACAUUGUUAACACCAUCGAAUCGCAGAAUACCAGCAUCAAUAAGACCUUGAACCCUCUUUUUAAAAGCAAGGCAAUUUUCUGUAGAGUGUCCCUGAUUCCCAGCGUGAUACAUACAACUAGCAUUAGGAUCAUACCACUUCAAGUAUGGAGGCUUUAGGGGUGCCAUGUAAUGUGGGGAUAUUAAUUGUUUUUCCAACAGCUUUGGGUAUAAUUCCCCAUAUGAUACAGGAAUUGGUGUGAACUGAGGUCUUUCAAGAUUGGGUUUCGCUGGUCUUUGUUCAAUUUUGGGUUGGCUUUGUGUAGGCAUGGUGUUUGGUGGGAACACAGUGAAUGGUCUUUGGUUAUUCAUGGCAUACACGGGGUAAGAGGGAGGUGUUUGAUAGUAAGGACCUUGAGGAGGAAAGUAGAAGUUUAAAGGUGGACGAUAACGAGGUCGUAAUUGGGUGGGAUACGGAUUGGGGGUGCAUUGACUCUCGGUUCUAACCAUAUGGGCUUUUGCCUCCUUUUUCUUUGCGGGUACUGCCCUCGUCGAGCUCUCGGGGCCUUCCAUUCUCCCAUUCUUGACAGCGUUUUCAAUAAGCUCCCCGGAUAUUACAAUAUCCGCAAAGUAUUUUGUGACGCUUCCUACCAAUUUAUCAUAAAAUGACGCUUUCAGAGUAUUGAUGAAAAGGACCGUUAUCUCUGUCUUAGUUAACGGGGGCUCUACCUGAGCAGAGAUAUCCCUCCAUCUUUGUGCAUAUUACCGAAAAGUCUCUGUAGGUUUCUUUUCCAUCAUUUGUAAAGUUAGUCGAUCAGGCACCAUAUCUGAUACGUGCCUAUAUUGCUCACAGAAUGCUGAUGCCAAAUCCUUCUAUAAUCGGAUUCUCUCUCUACUGAGCUGAUUAUACCAUCCAAGAGCUGAGCCAACCAAACUAUCUUGAAAGCAAUGUACCAACAAUUUAUCAUCAUUUACAUAACCAGUCAUCUUUCGGCAAAACAUGAUCAGAUGCGCCUUUGGACAUCUUGUUCUGUCAUACUUCUCAAAAUUAGGUGCCUUAAAUUUUGGGGGUAGGACCAGAUCAGGUACCAAACUGAGUUCUUUUGCACUCAAAGCAGAGAAAACUUCGGCACCCUCUUCCACCUUGAUCUUCUCUUCCAGGAUCCUAUACUUAUCCUGAACGUUAUUGUCAUCAAUUCUCAGUCUUGCUACUUCUACAGGAUCAUCUAGGUCUGGAACAAUUGGAUCUGAAGGAUUAGCCCCAGGGUUCGAUACAAACAUUCCUUGUCCUAAAUGAGCAGAUGGAGUAGGAUGUUGUUCCAGGCCUGUAGGUUCUCUUUGGGGGUAUCCUCUUUGCAUUGCAUGGACAUGAGGUGGAGUAAAUCCCGGGGGAUAAAGUGGAUCUUGAUUAGCUCUUGACUGAGGCUGUUCUACGAUAUCAGGGCUCUGCAUAGGUCCCUUUCCUUUGACCAAGGCCGUCAUCAUUUCCAUCAUUUUGGCCAUUUGAUCCCUUUGCUCGAGCGAUUCCUCUCGAGAUCUCACCAUCAAAUCUCUCGCCUCUUGCUGCGACUUGGCCAGUUACUCCUGCAACUCGCUUUGGGUUCUUUCCAUCCUUUCCAUCUUUUCAUUGAGUUCGGCAUCCAUAGCUCUAGCUCUUAAGCGCGUCCUAUAAGAAUGACGUGAUUCCAGACUCGUAGUGUAGUAACUUUGGAUUAGAUGGUUUUAACCUUAGCGAAUGAUUAGGGUGAUAUGAGCAUGCAAUGAAUAAAUGAAUGAGUAACUAAUGAAUGUUAAUCAUGCGUAAAUAUGCAAAGAUAGGUUUUGAUUCCAAAAUGGCCCCAUACUUGGGUGUUUCAUUUAUCAAAAGAGUCUGUUACAAAAAGUUUUGCCAUAUUAGUUUUAACUGUUACACAAACUUUUUAGCCACAUCGCCUUGUUUCUUUAUACGUUCCAGGAAGUCCAAUAUGCUUGAUCUUUGACUAGGAGGGUAUUGGCAACUGAGAACUUCCGCUUCAUCUGAUAAUUGUACUACAUGCGCAGCCGCCUUACGAAUUUCAUUGAUCAAACUGCCGAGAUGCAUAUCAUUUUCUUGGAGGGCUUUUUCAUAGGCGCGAAUGUCUCUAUCAUACUGACCAUUCUUCUCUUCUAAAGCUCUCAGGAGGUCAUCCAAAUGUUGCUGAUGAGAUUGCAGUGUACUCUCUAGACUUCGAAUUUUUCCUUUUAGCUCUUGAUGCUCAGACUGACUAGCUGUUAGUUCUGCAGACACAGUUUCGUAUUCAACAUUCUUCUUCCUCAACUCUAACAUAGCACGUGCAGCUCUUUCCUCUUCUUUCUUCGCUUUGGCUUUCCAGAAUUCCAUCCCACCUUUGAUAUUACUUAGUUCCUCCUUCCAUUCUACUGAUGGUUUUCCCAAUCCACUAUUUCUUAUAGUGCCUCUUAAUUUCUUAUUUUUUAAAUGAAGGUCCCUUAAAUCUUUUCUUGUAACUUCAACUUCUUUUUGGACUUUCUCGGUUCUAGAUUUUUUUAAUUUCGACAUCAAUCUUCAGCUGGUAGUUUUCCUCCUGGAGAGAACUAAUAUCUCAUAACAGUUUGGCUUUUUCACGUUCAAAUUCAUGUCUUGCAAUUUCUAGCUUGGAUGGUACUUCCUCUAAGAACAGGUUCUGGUGAGCGACGUCAAUCAACGGGUUUAAUUGACUCUUUACUCUUCGUUGCCUCCAUAUGUCAUAAUCUACAGUGACAGUAUCAGCAUAGAGAGCUAGUUCUAUUAGGUAGAUUUUCCUCCAAGAAUUCACAGUAUCUCGCACUUUUUUCAUGUAACCCUCACCCAUAAAGGCAAACUCUGAUUGUGCCAAUCCAUCAGUAACUGGUACAAACUGUCGCGAAGCGAACUGUCUCUGAACCAUCAAUGGAACAUAUCCAACUCCUCCCCAUAAUCCUAACAAAGGCACCCAGUCUUGGUUCUCACACUUGUAUAACAAGACAGAGGGACGAAUCCAAGGUGCUCUCCAAGUUAUAUCUUCAGUACGGAGGUUCUGAAAAAUCAAGACCCAGUGUUGUUCAAUGACAUCCUUCGGCCAAUCCUUUUCAAGGUGUGCUUCUAACGGAGCAAAUAUUUUUAGAACAUAUGGAAAGGUGUGCGCUCCACUUUCCAAAAAUGGCUAAAAAUCCAAACAUUAAGUAACUGAGCGCAUCUGAUAAAACGUCCUUCCCCUUUUUUCCUAUAAGCAUUUAGGGAUCUAAAAGUCUCGGCCGAUAUGGUUGGGACGGGGUUGAUUCCUUGCCUUAACUUUUCAAAGAAAUCUACUACCGCGACUUCAAUGUGCCUGAGAACCUUUGGGAAGAUGGCUAGUCCGUAAAUGGCCAAAGCAAACAGAUCUAUCCUUCUCAAAGUAUCUAGAUGAUUCUGAACUAACUCCCGAAGAGAAAACCACGGAACACAACUGACUUCAUUCUUCUUCUUUAUUUGUUUUUCAGCCCAUGUAUCAGUCAUCCCCGUCAACUUCAUUAGCUUUUUCUUGAAGGUCAUUGGUUUAGGCUCAUUCACAUAUAUCUUGUUGAAUUGUACAUUGUCGAUGCGAAGCAAAGCGGCAUACUCUUCUAUGGUCGGAGUCAUGUCUUCCUGAUUGAAAGUGAAACACUGAUAGGUUGGGUCCCAGAAUCGAACCAUGGCUUGAAUCAACUGCUCGUUCACACUGAUUGCUAUCAAGUGAGUUAUAUCUCCAUAUUUUUCAGUGAAGAUGGCUUUAGUAUCUAAGUCCCACUGUUUCCAAAUAUUUUUCAAGUCUUCGAGAUCGUUCUGACGAGCAUUCAAAGUCACACACUCGGGAAGAUUAGAGGUGUAUCCUUCCUUUAAACUGUCCCCUUUCACUUUUUGAGUCCUCAAAGACCAAUCUCGGACUACAGCAUUCUUUUCGGUAACUUGUGUAAUUGACUCCUCCAUCAGAAACCCAUUUUUGGCAACCAAUCUCUAAUCAACACCUUCAUAAUGAGAUGUCUACGAUGCAUGAUGAAAAAUAAAAUGAAGAACAAAUAACCUUGGUUAGAGAUCACAACAGAUAUAAACAGAAGAAAGAAGAAAAAUAAAGACUAUGGAGAAUUUAACGAAUUAAGCUAUUCAAUCAUGCAAUUUGGAAGGACAAACCCGCUUUUUUUUGCCCUAACAUGCUUUACAAAAACCUACCCCACAUACCAUCAGACAAUCUAUCCGACCCAAUUUAUUAAACAGACUCAAUUCAUUGGCAAAUAAAUGUAAAUGUAAAAGAAAUAAAAGGUAAGAGGCAUUUCUCCCGUGUACUUAUUUUGGUGACUGUUCAACGGACGGAGGUUCGGCAUGGCUCUAAUUGGGUGGCUCGUACAGUUCACUAUAUGUGAUUUCGAUUCUAGAAAGGUACUCAAAUUGCCCGUACUGUCACCUACUAAGGUUAGUACGGAGCCUCGGUCAUCACCCAUCACAGGCUUACGAGCUCAAUUCGAGAGAUUACAUUUACUUAUGCCUAUGCAGAGGGACGAGUUAACUCACGAAAGCAUAAGUCAUAUGUAACCCGGAAGUAUUUCACUAGCCUGUAUGGAGGGACGAGUUAACUCACAAAGGCGUAGCGUUUACUUCCACUUAAACGGACGGAGCCCGGGUAGAGAGCUCAUGUUAUGCAAGAAUGCAAGUGCACAGUGUGUGGGGAGAAACUUACAAACCUUUUAAAUUUUUUUAUUUUUACUAAAAACCAAACUAAAAAACGUAAAACUUAGAGCUGAAAAUAGAAAAAAAAAACAAGUUAGAAAAAUAUAAAUUUAAAAAUCGAAUGCUGAUACAUGACUUUUCAAAAAUAAAAUUCAGGGAUCACGAUUAAAAAUUAAUUUGAACAGAGAAUUUUAAAAAUUUUGACAACACGCGUUUAACAUUAGACUCGACUCUCAAACACGUCCCCAGUGGAGUCGCCAUCUGUAGCGACCUAAAAAAUUUUGGGCACGAGCGCUAAUUGAAGUGAUUAUUGAAAAUUUGAAAGCAGAGUUUCAAUUUAUUUAAAAAGGGAGUCGCCACCGAUCUUUUUUCUAGGUGUGAUCAGACACCUAAUAAAUUCUUUUUUUUAAAGAAAAUUAUAUUUCAAUUUUUCUAAAAAAGAGUCGAUUUUAGGUCCACGUCAAAAUCCAGAGAAAAUUAGGGUUCGGGAGUCGGUUACGCGCGAGGAAGGUAUUAGCACCCUCGCGACAUCCAAAAUUGGUAUCUCGUUAAACGCAUGUUGUCUUAAUUUUCAAAAAUACGAGUUCCAUUUAAUAUUUAGUCGUGAUCCGAUUGAAAUACGAGAACCUUUUUUUUUUAAAACACGAGAUUUUGAAGCACGAAAAUUUUUGAAAACACGAUAAUAAUUUUUUUAAAACGCGAGAAUUUUAGAAACACGAAUUUUUAAAAAAGAACACGAAAGUUUUUGAAAUGCGAGAAUAUUUUUGAAACACGAGAAAUUUUUUUGAAAACGCAAAAAAGUGAAAAAUUUUUGAAAUACGAGAAAUUUUUGAAAACACGAAUAUUAGAAACACAGGAUUUUUUGAAAACACGAGAAUUUUUUAAAAACAUGAAAAUUUUUGAAACACAAUUUUUUAAAAACACGAGAAUUUUUUGAAAACAUGAAGAUUUGUGAAACACGAGAAUUUUUUUUUGAAAACUAAUUUUUUUAAAAACUAGAAAUUUUUGAAACACGGGAAUUUUUUCUAAAAAACAUACCGUAUUUAACACGAAUUGACGAUAUUCACCUCGACAUGGCAAUGAAAUCGAAGAAUUAGUGUCAAACCGAUUGAAUUUAAUAUUUAGUCAUGAUCUAAUUAAAACACGGAUUUUUUUUAAAAACACGAGGAUUUUUGAAUAUUUUUGAUUUUUUUUCUUGAAUCUUAAAAAAGGCGUCCCGUAUUUAACACGAGCCAUCGAUAUUCACCCAACAUAGCGAUGAAAUCAACGACUUUAUGUUAAAUCGGUUCGUUACCUUAUGCAUUAAAAUUAUUUAAAAUUAAUAAAUAAAUAAAAUUAAAAACAUAAUACAAAAUAAAAUGUCGAAAAAAUGCCAAUGAUAUUAAAUACGAGACAAUAUUUAAAUAUUAAGACAAAAUUAAAAGAUUAAAAAUUUACCAAAAUCCCAAGGUUAUGGGCUUGAAUUUUGGGCCUUUCCCUUUUUUGCUGUUGGGCUGUACUGUUGGGCCUGAGUUACUGCUGCUAGGCCGGAUCCGGGUCGGGUCAGGCGGAUUGGCUCUGCUGACUAACCUGCUGCACUGCUGGGCUGCUGGGCAGACUGGGCCUGCUGGGCUGAUGGUGAACCUGGGCCUGCUGGCUGGCCUGUUAAGUGCAGGCCUGGUCUGCUGGCUGGCCUGUUGAGUGCAGGCCUGGUCUGCUUGUGUUGGGCUGCUAGAUAAGUGGGCCUGCUGGUGGUGAGCUGCUGGUGGCCUACCAAAGAAGUGGCCUGCUGUUUUUUUUUGUUUUUUUUCUUUUUUUUUCUCUCUUUUUUUUUCCUUUCUUCUUCUUCUCUUAACUUUCUUUUCCUUCCUUUCAAACCCUAGCCGCCGCCAUUGGUGAUUCCUUGCUCCGUUCGGCGGUGUAACGGCCGACGUUUCCCUCUCGUUCCUUCUAUUCUUUUCUUCCUUCCUCCUUUUCUUCUUUUCCUUUUCUCUUUUCUUUCCCCUUUCUCUCCUUCCCUUUCCUCUCUUUUCUUUCUCUUCUAUUUCUCUUCUCGACCACCUCAAGGUUGAAAGCGCCGCCGCUGCGCUCGUCCUUGGCUCUUCUCCGCCCUCGGUGGCCCACGAAGAAGGCCAAAAUUUCUUACUAAUUUUAUUUUUUUUGCUGCUGUUUUUUUACUGUGUUUUUCUUGUUUUUUUUUGGUUGCUUGUUACUUGUUGUGUUUGAUUUGUUGUAGAUGCUGUCGGUGGAGUAACACUGGUGGUGGCGCGGCGGUCUUGGUGGCGGUGGGGGGCGAAAGGAUGUUCUCUCUUUUUUUUUUUUGCUCUCUGUUUUCUGUUUUCUUUUUUUGGCUUCCAAAAAUCCUUCCUCCCCUUUCUCUUCAAUUUUUCUUUUUAAUCCCUCAAAAUUGUCUUCUUCAUCUUUGUUUUUAGGUGACAGGGGAAGGAAAUCAUGGCCUAGGGAGCUGCCGGAGUAGCUGGAAGUGGCAGGAGCAUGCUUGGAUGCCGAUUGGGUGAUUUGACAAGUCCAGAAGGACCAAAAUGUAGAAGACACAAAAUAUUUGGGGUAAAAAUGUAAUUUUGGGAAAUAUAGGGCCGAUAUGUAAUUUUUAUAAAGUUUAGGGGUCAAAGUGUAAUUUUAAGAAAGUUUAGGGGUUGAAAUGUAAUUUUAGAAAAUUUUGGGGUCAAAAUGUAAAUUUUUAAAAGUAUAGGAGUUAAAACGUAAUUUUUAUUUUUUGCAUUUUUUUCAAAUUUUAUUAUUACUAUUUUAUUAAUGUUUAAAACAAAAAUUAAAAAUGGGCAAAAAUAAGUCUGAAAUUAAAUUCCAACAGGCCCAAUCGUUAGGCCCAUAUGAGACCAGCCUGGCCCAAAACCCUACCCGGGCAAAAUUCAGUGAUUACAAACAUUUGUGAGUAUAAUUGUUUUAUAAUCACUACAAUUAAGUUAGAUUUAAAUCAUCUCUUGUAAAAUAAAGAUUAUAGUGAUUUAUCUUUUGAGAAUAUUUUGUAAGUAUAGAAUUAUGUUCAAACUGCGUAAAAAAUCUCAUAUAUUAUUAUUAUUUUA